GACGAACGCUGGCGGCGUGCUUAACACAUGCAAGUCGAACGGAAAGGCCCUGCUUUUGUGGGGUGCUCGAGUGGCGAACGGGUGAGUAACACGUGAGUAACCUGCCCUUGACUUUGGGAUAACUUCAGGAAACUGGGGCUAAUACCGGAUAGGAGCUCCUGCUGCAUGGUGGGGGUUGGAAAGUUUCGGCGGUUGGGGAUGGACUAGCGGCUUAUCAGCUUGUUGGUGGGGUAGUGGCUUACCAAGGCUUUGACGGGUAGCCUGCCUGAGAGGGUGACCGGCAACAUUGGGACUGAGAUACGGCCCAGAAUCCUAAGGGAGGCAGCAGUGGGGAAUAUUGCACAAUGGGCGGAAGCCUGAUGCAGCAACGCCGCGUGCGGGAUGACGGCCUUCGGGUUGUAAACCGCUUUCGCCUGUGACGAAGCGUGAGUGACGGUAAUGGGUAAAGAAGCGCCGGCUAACUACGUG
Molecule: ribosomal RNA, 468 nt
Filed under: uncultured bacterium
Lineage: Bacteria
Description: partial 16S ribosomal RNA
Rfam family: Bacterial small subunit ribosomal RNA
Source: RNAcentral